Molecule: ribosomal RNA, 218 nt
Filed under: uncultured bacterium
Lineage: Bacteria
Description: partial 16S ribosomal RNA
Rfam family: Bacterial small subunit ribosomal RNA
Source: RNAcentral
CCGACAGUCAGGGAUAACAUUUCGAAGGAAUGCUAAUACCUGAUAAGCCUACGCCCUCUUCGGAGGAAGUAGGAAAAGGUGGGGACCUUCGGGCCUGCCGUUGUUGGAUGAGUCCGCGGCCCAUUAGCUAGUUGGUAGGGGUAAUGGCCUACCAAGGCUACGAUGGGUAGCUGGUCUGAGAGGAUGAUCAGCCACACUGGAACUGAGACACGGUCCAG